Tetranychus urticae (two-spotted spider mite) is the source of this 1791-nucleotide long non-coding RNA. RefSeq lists it as uncharacterized. The record is from RefSeq and is a predicted model, not a curated record. Lineage: Eukaryota; Metazoa; Arthropoda; Arachnida; Trombidiformes; Tetranychidae.
UGGUACUUUACAGUACCGAUAAUUGAUAUUUUGAUAUCAGUUUAGUCCCGACCGUUAAGAGGGAUCAAAGGCUUAUUAGCCCAUAAGUAAAUAAACAAAAGUCAAAUUAAAAUAAAUUUAAUUAUGUGUUAAAUAUGAUGGUGUCUAACAGCUUGUUGGUGGCAAAACAAGGAAGACAAUGAAAAUGCGGAAGAUUAUUGGAUAACAAGCUGAGAGCGCGAAAAGGAAAAGUUAACCUCCAAAUAAGUUAACGAUGUUAAGGAUGUGCAAGUCUAACCAAAAUGGUUCAAGUGUUAUAACAGAGUGUAUAUUUUAUUGUAUUAGAAUCUGUUUAUAAUUAUAUUUUUCACUCUUUUUUUAAUAAUAUGUUAACCUGUUAGUUUGUUAAUAUAAUAUCAAUUAAUGUAAACCCAGGAUCAUCUUGCUAGUGCAAUUCGUUGGUUUGUGUGAAAAAUGUUACUCAAAGUCUGAUUUACUGUUUACAGCUGACAGAAUUUGUUAAUCAUCAUUUGUUUUCUUCUUGUACUUUUUUUCAUUUAUGUUUUUUCUUUUCAGCCUUUUUUUCAUCAAAUCUUCCUGUAUAAGGUACUCAUGACAUUGUUUAGCUGAAAUAGGAACAAUUGGAGGCUAGGAAAAUGCUCUUUAACGUAACUCUGGUGACAUAAAAUCAAGCAAAGUAAUUGGGUGAAUCUGUUAUUGUCUGGGAAUGAUGACGAUGGUUCACAAUCAACUACAAAAUUGAGAUGACAUGACAAUACAAGUAUCAUUUGGACUGAAAGAAAAAACCAGAGGACCAGAUUUGGGAAGCAAAAUGAAAAAUGAUAUUGAGAAAACUUAAGCCAAGAAGGUAAUCAGCUAUUUACAUUUGCAGAGAAGAUUUAUGGACCCAUAAUUGUUACAUUGUAGACAAAUUUAUGUAUAUUUACUUCCUUCCUCUUCCCAUUGCCAUUAUCAUCAUAAUAUACAUUUUCAUGGUGAAUCUUUAAACAAUUGGAGUAACCAAAAAGCCAAAUUGAAGUGUCAAGAAUGGAUCCGUUAUUUAGAGGCCUUACAAUGUUGAAAUGAAACCUUCAAAUUUUAUUGAUUCAGAAGAUUAUACAGAUGCCUUAAUUCCAUCCUACCUUUGCAGAUGUUUAUAAUUAAACCUUUCACCUCAGCUAUGUCAUCAUUAUCCUCAUACGCAUUAAUCUUGAAAGAAAAGGUAAAUCUAAAUAUCUUAACUGUUCUCGGAUAUUUCCAAGUGUCGACUUGAUUGUUUAAAAAGUGUCUGGAUGGAAACGUAUUUUCAAUCAAUCUGCUGAACAACUGGAUCAGAAGCUUUACCCUCAAAAUCAACAAUCAAAGUGAUUAAAUUACCAAACAAUACUCACCGAAUGGAUCAAAUUGUGAAGGAAUCAUCAUUUGAUUACGUUAUUAUGGGAACAACUCAAUAGUUACCUUGAAGAUUUUGUGAUUCAUGAAAAUAAUCAAGUCAGCCUGAUUCAAUAAUGGAUUCAAUUCAACUAAAUGCUAAACACUUUUAUUAAACUUGCAGUCAACAUUUAGCUCUUGUAUCAAUGUUUAGUUGUGAUACUUAACGGUCGCCAAUCAAGCCUUUUUGAUGCUCAAAUUGUAAUCAUUGUAAAUCAAGCAAAAGUGAUAAUCAAAUGCAUAAAAAAGGCGAAAGUUUGUUAACCUUUUUUCACUAAAGUCUUCACUAUUUUUGUGUUUGCUUGAAAAAAAUUCAACUCACGGUUGGACGAGUAUUUCAUACAAAUCAAAUGUUACGAUUAAAAGUGUCUUGUAAUCAAA